UGGCGGCGUGCUUAACACAUGCAAGUCGAGCGAGAAAGGGGGCUUCGGCCCCUGAGUACAGCGGCGAACGGGUGCGUAAUACAUGAGCAAUCUACCCUUGAGGCGGGAAUAACCCAGCGAAAGUUGGGCAAAUACCGGAUAAGACCACAAGAGGAAACUCUAGAGGUCAAAGGCAGCUCUCUUUUGGGGGCGGCCCUUCGAGGAGGAGCUCAUGUCCUAUCAGCUAGUUGGUAGGGUAACGGCCUACCAAGGCGAAGACGGGUAGCUGGUCUUAGAGGAUGAUCAGCCACACGGGGACUGAGACACGGCCCCGACUCCUACGGGAGGCAGCAGUGGGGAAUAUUGGGCAAUGGGCGAAAGCCUGACCCAGCGACGCCGCGUGGGUGAUGAAGGCCUUCGGGUCGUAAAGCCCUGUCAGGAGGAAAGAACGAUCUUGUGGUGAAUACCCACGAGAUGUGACGGUACCUCCGAAGGAAGCACCGGCCAAUUCCGUGCCAGCAGCCGCGGUAAGACGGAAGGUGCAAGCGUUGCUCGGAAUCACUGGGCGUAAAGGGUGCGUAGGCGGCUUCUUAAGUCUGGUGUGAAAGCCCAGGGCUCAGCUCUGGAAGUGCACUAGAUACUGGGAAGCUUGAGUACCGGA
RNAcentral lists this ribosomal RNA (640 nucleotides) under uncultured soil bacterium. Its description in RNAcentral is "bacterial SSU rRNA". It matches the Rfam family "Bacterial small subunit ribosomal RNA", at positions 37 to 653 of the family's 1533-position model. The record is from RNAcentral.